GAUGAACGCUGGCGGCGUGCCUAAUACAUGCGAGUCGAGCGAACAGAUAAGGAGCUUGCUCCUUUGACGUUAGCGGCGGACGGGUGAGUAACACGUGGGUAACCUACCUAUAAGACUGGAAUAACUCCGGGAAACCGGGGCUAAUGCCGGAUAACAUUUAGAACCGCAUGGUUCUAAAGUGAAAGAUGGUUUUGCUAUCACUUAUAGAUGGACCCGCGCCGUAUUAGCUAGUUGGUAAGGUAACGGCUUACCAAGGCAACGAUACGUAGCCGACCUGAGAGGGUGAUCGGCCACACUGGAACUGAGACACGGUCCAGACUCCUACGGGAGGCAGCAGUAGGGAAUCUUCCGCAAUGGGCGAAAGCCUGACGGAGCAACGCCGCGUGAGUGAUGAAGGUCUUCGGAUCGGAAAACUCUGUUAUUAGGGAAGAACAAAUGUGUAAGUAACUGUGCACGUCUUGACGGUACCUAAUCAGAAAGCCACGGCUAACUACGUG
RNAcentral lists this ribosomal RNA (497 nucleotides) under uncultured bacterium. RNAcentral's name for it is "partial 16S ribosomal RNA". It matches the Rfam family "Bacterial small subunit ribosomal RNA", at positions 28 to 507 of the family's 1533-position model. The record is from RNAcentral.